CCUACGGGAGGCAGCAGUGGGGAAUCUUGCGCAAUGGGCGAAAGCCUGACGCAGCCAUGCCGCGUGAAUGAUGAAGGUCUUAGGAUUGUAAAAUUCUUUCACCGGGGACGAUAAUGACGGUACCCGGAGAAGAAGCCCCGGCUAACUUCGUGCCAGCAGCCGCGGUAAUACGAAGGGGGCUAGCGUUGCUCGGAAUUACUGGGCGUAAAGGGAGCGUAGGCGGAUAGUUUAGUCAGAGGUGAAAGCCCAGGGCUCAACCUUGGAAUUGCCUUUGAUACUGGCUAUCUUGAGUGUGGGAGAGGUAUGUGGAACUCCGAGUGUAGAGGUGAAAUUCGUAGAUAUUCGGAAGAACACCAGUGGCGAAGGCGACAUACUGGCCCAUUACUGACGCUGAGGCUCGAAAGCGUGGGGAGCAAACAGGAUUAGAUACCCUGGUAGUCCACGCUGUAAACGAUGAGUGCUAGUUGUCGGCAGGCAUGCCUGUCGGUGACGCAGCUAACGCAUUAAGCACUCCGCCUGGGGAGUACGGUCGCAAGAUUAAAACUUACGAAAGUAGUAGACGNGNGAGAGCGACGACGACGACGACGGAGGAGGAG
Molecule: ribosomal RNA, 596 nt
Filed under: uncultured bacterium
Lineage: Bacteria
Description: bacterial SSU rRNA
Rfam family: Bacterial small subunit ribosomal RNA
Source: RNAcentral